This is a long non-coding RNA of Miniopterus natalensis, 1001 nucleotides long. RefSeq lists it as uncharacterized. The record is from RefSeq and is a predicted model, not a curated record. Lineage: Eukaryota; Metazoa; Chordata; Mammalia; Chiroptera; Miniopteridae.
AAUAUAUAUAUAUAUAUGUUAAAAAGAAAAAAAAAAACUCCCAGGGGUUGGCUUCUGGCUGGUUUCCUUUUGCUGUGGGGUUUUGUUAUCUGGUUUUCAUGGUGAACGUGCCCAGCCGCCUGCCCCAGAACUGUACAGUAUUGUGGCUGCACUCACUCUGAGAGUAGUUAUGUUGCAUUUUUCUUGUUGUUAAAAACUUGUUAGAAGCAAUGAAUGUCUAUAAAAGCUUCAACUAGUCGUUUUUUCUCCUCUGUUUUUCCUUGUCUCAAUUAUUCUGUGAUCGGACAACCAGAGAACCGUUCAUACUUCUUUCUUUCUGAGAAGGGAUUCCCACCUGAGCGCGGUGCGUAUGUUGGCCAAGAUCAAGGUUACAUGGGACGCAUGCACUUUCCAAAUUGGGGUCAAGGGCUCUCACAAGAACCACAAGGAGAAAAUCACCCAAGAACCUCCUCGGUCGUCCCGAGCCCUCAGUGCACAAGCACCCGGGAGGAGAGAUCUAAACAACCGGACAGACCUUGGACAACCAUGAAAUAUGCAUCCCACUGGGCACAAAGAAAACCAGAUGGAAUAUGAACGGUAUUGCACCAAUUCAUCGUGACUACCCAGAAAAAUAACUUAAAGCCACUAUCCUACCGAUGACAAGUUUGUUUUGUGUAUCAAUGUGAGCCCAGCAGACAAAAACACCUGUGCAAGACCGAAAGGCUUCAUCAAAAGGUCCUGGAAUUGUUACUAAAUACGACUGUGAUGUAGAUACAUAGCAGUGCCAUAUACUGGAAUCUUUGGGGGAACCUGCUGCAGUGGGCCUUCCAAGCUAGCUCGUGUUAUUAAAUUUUCCCCUCUGGGUACCAUUUGAAGGAGUGAUAGCCAAUCAAAUUUCUUUUGGGGACGUGGGGGUGGUUGUGUUUAUUAUACUAUCUUCUUAAGUUUUCAACCGAGCUUUGCUUUUGUUUUGAGUUACUGGGAUGAUUUUUGUUUGAAAUAAAAUAAGUGUAUAAAAAGUG